Molecule: ribosomal RNA, 1393 nt
Filed under: Escherichia coli
Lineage: Bacteria; Pseudomonadati; Pseudomonadota; Gammaproteobacteria; Enterobacterales; Enterobacteriaceae
Description: partial 23S ribosomal RNA
Rfam family: Bacterial large subunit ribosomal RNA
Source: RNAcentral
GGCACUACGGUGCUGAAGCAACAAAUGCCCUGCUUCCAGGAAAAGCCUCUAAGCAUCAGGUAACAUCAAAUCGUACCCCAAACCGACACAGGUGGUCAGGUAGAGAAUACCAAGGCGCUUGAGAGAACUCGGGUGAAGGAACUAGGCAAAAUGGUGCCGUAACUUCGGGAGAAGGCACGCUGAUAUGUAGGUGAAGCGACUUGCUCGUGGAGCUGAAAUCAGUCGAAGAUACCAGCUGGCUGCAACUGUUUAUUAAAAACACAGCACUGUGCAAACACGAAAGUGGACGUAUACGGUGUGACGCCUGCCCGGUGCCGGAAGGUUAAUUGAUGGGGUUAGCGCAAGCGAAGCUCUUGAUCGAAGCCCCGGUAAACGGCGGCCGUAACUAUAACGGUCCUAAGGUAGCGAAAUUCCUUGUCGGGUAAGUUCCGACCUGCACGAAUGGCGUAAUGAUGGCCAGGCUGUCUCCACCCGAGACUCAGUGAAAUUGAACUCGCUGUGAAGAUGCAGUGUACCCGCGGCAAGACGGAAAGACCCCGUGAACCUUUACUAUAGCUUGACACUGAACAUUGAGCCUUGAUGUGUAGGAUAGGUGGGAGGCUUUGAAGUGUGGACGCCAGUCUGCAUGGAGCCGACCUUGAAAUACCACCCUUUAAUGUUUGAUGUUCUAACGUUGACCCGUAAUCCGGGUUGCGGACAGUGUCUGGUGGGUAGUUUGACUGGGGCGGUCUCCUCCUAAAGAGUAACGGAGGAGCACGAAGGUUGGCUAAUCCUGGUCGGACAUCAGGAGGUUAGUGCAAUGGCAUAAGCCAGCUUGACUGCGAGCGUGACGGCGCGAGCAGGUGCGAAAGCAGGUCAUAGUGAUCCGGUGGUUCUGAAUGGAAGGGCCAUCGCUCAACGGAUAAAAGGUACUCCGGGGAUAACAGGCUGAUACCGCCCAAGAGUUCAUAUCGACGGCGGUGUUUGGCACCUCGAUGUCGGCUCAUCACAUCCUGGGGCUGAAGUAGGUCCCAAGGGUAUGGCUGUUCGCCAUUUAAAGUGGUACGCGAGCUGGGUUUAGAACGUCGUGAGACAGUUCGGUCCCUAUCUGCCGUGGGCGCUGGAGAACUGAGGGGGGCUGCUCCUAGUACGAGAGGACCGGAGUGGACGCAUCACUGGUGUUCGGGUUGUCAUGCCAAUGGCACUGCCCGGUAGCUAAAUGCGGAAGAGAUAAGUGCUGAAAGCAUCUAAGCACGAAACUUGCCCCGAGAUGAGUUCUCCCUGACUCCUUGAGAGUCCUGAAGGAACGUUGAAGACGACGACGUUGAUAGGCCGGGUGUGUAAGCGCAGCGAUGCGUUGAGCUAACCGGUACUAAUGAACCGUGAGGCUUAACCUUACAACGCCGAAGCUGUU